UUGAACCUUCUAGGUAGGAAACCCCUUAACUUAAAUAUAAUACCGGGGAUGUGUUACUCUCCUCUUUAACGUCGUCCGAUACAAAGGAUCUUGUAUAUCCCUUGCUCUUUCUAAUUGAUUGCUCAUUUAUGACUCUUAUACCUUUCACAACAAUUC
This 156-nucleotide ribosomal RNA is filed under the name Trichoderma inhamatum. Its description in RNAcentral is "28S ribosomal RNA". Lineage: Eukaryota; Fungi; Ascomycota; Sordariomycetes; Hypocreales; Hypocreaceae. The record is from RNAcentral.